CGCCCGCCGUAGGAGUUCAGAGUAGACCGCUCGCUGUAGGAGUUUGGAGUAGACCACUCGUAGUAGAAGUUCGGCUCUCAUAGGAGUCCGAUUAGAAUCUUGAAGGUGGUCGACCGCUGUAAAAACUAGGAUGGAGUUCGAUUUCUGUAGAAACCUCGUUGUCGAUGAAGCUCGAAUAUUGACGGAGUCUGGAAGGAGUUCGGAGAAUAGUUGGUCACUGU
This 221-nucleotide long non-coding RNA is filed under the name Elaeis guineensis (African oil palm). RNAcentral's name for it is "long non-coding RNA (EGUI_LNC043811)". Lineage: Eukaryota; Viridiplantae; Streptophyta; Magnoliopsida; Arecales; Arecaceae. The record is from RNAcentral.